AAGUCGUAACAAGGUUUCCGUAGGUGAACCUGCGGAAGGAUCAUUACCGAGUAUUGGGUCUUAGUGCCCGCACUCCAACCCUUUGUGUACCUAAAACUGUUGCUUUGGCGGGACCCGCGGUGUAAUGCCGCUGCUGGCUCACGCUGGUUAGUGCCCGCCAGAGAACCGUUAAACUCUUGUUUAUUCAGUGUCGUCUGAGCAAAAUUUAAUAAUCAAAACUUUCAACAACGGAUCUCUUGGUUCUG
This 245-nucleotide unclassified non-coding RNA is filed under the name Coniosporium apollinis. RNAcentral describes it as "partial internal transcribed spacer region". The stretch from base 1 to 46 matches the Rfam family "Eukaryotic small subunit ribosomal RNA", at positions 1786 to 1831 of the family's 1831-position model. Lineage: Eukaryota; Fungi; Ascomycota; Dothideomycetes. RNAcentral also lists the same sequence under 1 other name. The record is from RNAcentral.